ACAGGGAUUGCCCUAGUAACGGCGAGUGAAGCGGCAACAGCUCAAAUUUGAAAUCUGGCUCUUUCAGGGUCCGAGUUGUAAUUUGCAGAGGGCGCUUUGGCGUUGGCAGCGGUCCAAGUUCCUUGGAACAGGACGUCACAGAGGGUGAGAAUCCCGUACGUGGUCGCUGGCCUUCGCCGUGUAAAGCCCCUUCGACGAGUCGAGUUGUUUGGGAAUGCAGCUCUAAAUGGGAGGUAAAUUUCUUCUAAAGCUAAAUACUGGCCAGAGACCGAUAGCGCACAAGUAGAGUGAUCGAAAGAUGAAAAGCACUUUGGAAAGAGAGUCAAAUAGCACGUGAAAUUGUUGAAAGGGAAGCGCUUGCAGCCAGACUUGCCUGUAGUUGCUCAUCCGGGCUCUUGCCCGGUGCACUCUUCUAUAGGCAGGCCAGCAUCAGUUUGGGCGGUUGGAUAAAGGUCUCUGUCAUGUACCUCUCUUCGGGGAGGCCUUAUAGGGGAGACGACAUGCAACCAGCCUGGACUGAGGUCCGCGCAUUCGCUAGGAUGCUGGCGUAAUGGCUGUAAGCGGCCCGUCUUGAAACACGGACCAAGGAGUCUAACAUCUAUGCGAGUGUUUGGGUGUCAAGCCCGAACGCGUAAUGAAAGUGAACGGAGGUGGGAACCCUUACGGGUGCACCAUCGACCGAUCCUGAUGUCUUCGGAAGGAUUUGAGUAAGAGCAUGGCUGUUGGGACCCGAAAGAUGGUGAACUAUGCUUGAAUAGGGUGAAGCCAGAGGAAACUCUGGUGGAGGCUCGCAGCGGUUCUGACGUGCAAAUCGAUCGUCAAAUUUGGGCAUAGGGGCGAAAGACUAAU
RNAcentral lists this ribosomal RNA (849 nucleotides) under Plenodomus deqinensis. RNAcentral describes it as "eukaryotic LSU rRNA". It matches the Rfam family "Eukaryotic large subunit ribosomal RNA", at positions 68 to 935 of the family's 3401-position model. Lineage: Eukaryota; Fungi; Ascomycota; Dothideomycetes; Pleosporales; Leptosphaeriaceae. The record is from RNAcentral.